GCAUUAGACUCUCCAUGGGCUCCAUAGACUCUCCUGUACCUUACGACUAGGCACAGGAGCGUUUCCCCGGUGAAAUGGAGAAGAGGACACUUGGUCUUUUCAACUUUACUAGGAGGGCUCCUUUCUUCCCAGUCCGUAAGGAGGGGUCUGACUUUCAUUUCCACCCCAGCAUUAUCACCUUAACUCUCAUUCCAGUCAAUCCCGAAACUCCGUUGCCCUACCCACUUCACCCUUCUUUUGUUUGUCCUGAUUUGAUUCCUGCGUUCUCACAGAGGGCUACCUGGACUUUGAACCUCCACCCCCCUUUCUACAUUCUUGCAUUCCAGAAACAUAUGAAGCUCAUUUCUGCCACCCUUCCUAGAAAACUGGUUCCUGACAGAGACAUGUGGAAAGAUGUAAAGAAAAUGGGAGAGGGGAAGAGGAAAGAAUAAGGACGGAAAAAGGAAAGAAUAAGGAUGGAAAGAAAGGACAAAGGUGGAAGCCAAAGGCCAAGCCUAAGAACUUCAGGAAAGUUGAAC
RNAcentral lists this long non-coding RNA (518 nucleotides) under Homo sapiens (human). RNAcentral's name for it is "non-protein coding lnc-KLHL31-2:7". Lineage: Eukaryota; Metazoa; Chordata; Mammalia; Primates; Hominidae. The record is from RNAcentral.